CCUACGGGUGGCUGCAGUGGGGAAUAUUGCGCAAUGGGCGAAAGCCUGACGCAGCGACGCCGCGUGAGGGAUGAAGGUCUUCGGAUCGUAAACCUCUGUCAGCAGGGAAGAACGGUCACUGUGCUAAUCAGCAGUGAAUUGACGGUACCAGUAAAGGAAGCACCGGCUAACUCCGUGCCAGCAGCCGCGGUAAUACGGAGGGUGCGAGCGUGUAUCGGAAUUAUUGGGCGUAAAGCGCUCGUAGGUGGUAUGUCAAGUCAAGUGUGAAAUCCCGGGGCUCAACGUGGGAACUGCAUUUGAAACUGGCAAACUUGAGUAUGUGAGAGGAUAGUGGAAUUCGAGGUGUAGGAGUGAAAUCCGUAGAUAUCUGGAGGAACAUCGGUGGCGAAGGCGACUAUCUGGCAUAUAACUGACGCUGAGGAGCGAAAGCGUGGGUAGCAAACAGGAUUAGAUACCCCGGUAGUC
Molecule: ribosomal RNA, 465 nt
Filed under: uncultured bacterium
Lineage: Bacteria
Description: partial 16S ribosomal RNA
Rfam family: Bacterial small subunit ribosomal RNA
Source: RNAcentral